UGCUUAAGAAAAGGAUUUAAGUCCAGCCUAAAGUCUUACAAGUUUCUCAAAACAUAAUUUUGGCUUUAGAGUAAUUCAAAUAAGGUACAGCCUAUUUGAAAAAGGAUACAACCUAAACUAAUGGGUAAUACUCUGAUUUUAUAACCAAGUGGGCCUAAGAGCAGCCACCUUUAAGAUAGCGUCAAAGCUUUAUUGUAACAUUUACUCAAUACCUUCUAAAUUUUAUAACCCUUUAAUUCUAUUAAGCAAUUCUAUAAUACUAUAGAAAAUACGAUGUUAAAACUAGUAACAAGAAGAAGACCUUCUCUUUAAUGCAAGUGUAAAUCAGAAAGGACCUCCCACUGAUAAUUAACCCCCAUGAAAUUAUAUUAGCAACCUCGCAAGAAAACUCUAAUAAACCCUGAGUUAACCUAACACAAGAACAUUACAAGAAAGAUUAAAAGAAAAAGAAGGAACUCGGCAAACAUUAACCUCGCCUGUUUACCAAAAACAUCGCCUCUUGAAUUCCUAUAAGAGGUCCAGCCUGCCCAGUGACUUUGUUCAACGGCCGCGGUAUCCUAACCGUGCGAAGGUAGCGUAAUCACUUGUCUUUUAAAUGAGGACUUGUAUGAAUGGCAUCACGAGGGUUAUACUGUCUCCUUUUUCUAAUCAGUGAAACUAAUCUUCCCGUGAAGAAGCGGGAAUAAAUAUAUAAGACGAGAAGACCCUAUGGAGCUUUAAACUUAAUAACAAAUACUAACCUUACUUCAACUUCCAGAACAUUAAUCUUAAUUUUAGUAUCCUGUUUAUUAGUUUUAGGUUGGGGUGACCGCGGAGUAAAAAUUAACCUCCAUAUUGAAUAGGACUUGUCCUUGAGCUAAGAACUACAGCCCUAAGCACCAAUAAAUUGACAUUAAUUGACCCAAUAUUUUGAUCAACGAACCAAGUUACCCUAGGGAUAACAGCGCAAUCCACUUCAAGAGCUCCUAUCGACAAGUGGGUUUACGACCUCGAUGUUGGAUCAGGGUAUCCCAGUGGUGCAGCCGCUACUAAAGGUUCGUUUGUUCAACGAUUAAAACCC
Molecule: ribosomal RNA, 1060 nt
Filed under: Osteocephalus leprieurii (Cayenne slender-legged treefrog)
Lineage: Eukaryota; Metazoa; Chordata; Amphibia; Anura; Hylidae
Description: partial 16S ribosomal RNA
Rfam family: Bacterial large subunit ribosomal RNA
Source: RNAcentral